UACGGGGGGGGCAAGCUUUGUUCGGAAUUACUGGGCGUAAAGGGCUCGUAGGCGGCCAACUAAGUCAGACGUGAAAUCCCUCGGCUUAACCGGGGAACUGCGUCUGAUACUGGAUGGCUAGAGGUUGGGAGAGGGAUGCGGAAUUCCAGGUGUAGCGGUGAAAUGCGUAGAUAUCUGGAGGAACACCGGUGGCGAAGGCGGCAUCCUGGACCAAUUCUGACGCUGAGGAGCGAAAGCCAGGGGAGCAAACGGG
This 253-nucleotide ribosomal RNA is filed under the name uncultured bacterium. RNAcentral describes it as "partial 16S ribosomal RNA". It matches the Rfam family "Bacterial small subunit ribosomal RNA", at positions 524 to 776 of the family's 1533-position model. The record is from RNAcentral.